UACGUAGGGCGCAAGCGUUAUCCGGCAUUAUUGGGCGUAAAGAGCUCGUAGGCGGUUUGUCGCGUCUGCCGUGAAAGUCCGGGGCUCAACUCCGGAUCUGCGGUGGGUACGGGCAGACUAGAGUGAUGUAGGGGAGACUGGAAUUCCUGGUGUAGCGGUGAAAUGCGCAGAUAUCAGGAGGAACACCGAUGGCGAAGGCAGGUCUCUGGGCAUUAACUGACGCUGAGGAGCGAAAGCAUGGGGAGCGAACAGG
Molecule: ribosomal RNA, 253 nt
Filed under: uncultured bacterium
Lineage: Bacteria
Description: partial 16S ribosomal RNA
Rfam family: Bacterial small subunit ribosomal RNA
Source: RNAcentral